Molecule: long non-coding RNA, 299 nt
Organism: Suricata suricatta (meerkat)
Lineage: Eukaryota; Metazoa; Chordata; Mammalia; Carnivora; Herpestidae
Exons: 3
Source: RefSeq, a predicted model, not a curated record
GGAGGAAGGAAGAAAUCACAAGGAAACCUUUGUGUCUCAGCCAAGGGUUCAUCGUGGGUGAACCGCAUCCCCCCUGAGACUCUGUGAGGAUAACCUGCCUUCACGCAGCCUUGCAGGCCACCUCACUGAAUGUGAUGCUCAGAGUAUGGGUGGAAAAUUCAUAAAUUGGGAUUUGAUGCCAGACUGCAGGUAAAUGCUUGUUACCAUGAUGACUUCAGAGCAACUGCUGUCUGCACAAUGGGAGGUCCUAAGCAACUAAAAAAGGAAGGAGAACAGCUGAAAGUUUUUUUGAAAAGGUU